UGAGGAAUAUUGGUCAAUGGGCGAGAGCCUGAACCAGCCAAGUAGCGUGCAGGAAGACGGCCCUACGGGUUGUAAACUGCUUUUAUGAAGGAAUAAAGUCACCCACGUGUGGGUGUUUGCAUGUACUUUAUGAAUAAGGACCGGCUAAUUCCGUGCCAGCAGCCGCGGUAAUACGGAAGGUCCGGGCGUUAUCCGGAUUUAUUGGGUUUAAAGGGAGCGUAGGCCGCCUGGUAAGCGUGUUGUGAAAUGUCGUUGCUCAACAACGUCACUGCAGCGCGAACUGGUCUUCUUGAGUACGCACAACGUGGGCGGAAUUCGUGGUGUAGCGGUGAAAUGCUUAGAUAUCACGAAGAACUCCGAUUGCGAAGGCAGCUCACGGGGAGCGCAACUGACGCUGAGCUCGAAAGUGCGGGUAUCGAACAGGAUUAGAUACCCUGGUAGU
This 442-nucleotide ribosomal RNA is filed under the name uncultured Prevotella sp. RNAcentral describes it as "bacterial SSU rRNA". It matches the Rfam family "Bacterial small subunit ribosomal RNA", at positions 355 to 794 of the family's 1533-position model. Lineage: Bacteria; Pseudomonadati; Bacteroidota; Bacteroidia; Bacteroidales; Prevotellaceae. The record is from RNAcentral.